ACGAACGCUGGCGGCGUGCUUAACACAUGCAAGUCGAACGGUGAAGCGCCUUCCUUUUUGGUGGGUGUGGAUGAGUGGCGAACGGGUGAGUAACACGUGAGUAACCUGCCCCCUUCUUCUGGAUAACCGCAUGAAAGUGUGGCUAAUACGGGAUAUUCUGGGUCUGUCGCAUGAUGGGUCUGGGAAAGAUAUUGUUUCGGUGGGGGAUGGGCUCGCGGCCUAUCAGCUUGUUGGUGGGGUGAUGGCCUACCAAGGCGGUGACGGGUAGCCGGCCUGAGAGGGUGGACGGUCACACUGGGACUGAGACACGGCCCAGACUCCUACGGGAGGCAGCAGUGGAGAAUAGUGCACAAUGGGCGCAAGCCUGAUGCAGCGACGCCGCGUGAGGGAUGGAGGCCUUCGGGUUGUGAACCUCUUUCGCCAGUGAAGCAGGCCUGCCUCGUUUGUGGGUGGGUUGACGGUAGCUGGAUAAGAAGCGCCGGCUAACUACGUG
Molecule: ribosomal RNA, 493 nt
Filed under: uncultured bacterium
Lineage: Bacteria
Description: partial 16S ribosomal RNA
Rfam family: Bacterial small subunit ribosomal RNA
Source: RNAcentral